RNAcentral lists this ribosomal RNA (253 nucleotides) under uncultured bacterium. RNAcentral describes it as "partial 16S ribosomal RNA". It matches the Rfam family "Bacterial small subunit ribosomal RNA", at positions 524 to 776 of the family's 1533-position model. The record is from RNAcentral.
UACGAAGGGUGCAAGCGUUACUCGGAAUUACUGGGCGUAAAGCGUGCGUAGGUGGUUCGUUAAGUCUGAUGUGAAAGCCCUGGGCUCAACCUGGGAAUGGCAUUGGAAACUGGCGACCUAGAGUGCGGUAGAGGGUAGUGGAAUUCCCGGUGUAGCAGUGAAAUGCGUAGAUAUCGGGAGGAACACCGGUGGCGAAGGCGACCAUCUGGACGGAUACUGACGCUGAGACGCGAAAGCGUGGGUAGCAAACAGG